CCUACGGGAGGCAGCAGUGAGGAAUAUUGCGCAAUGGGCGAAAGCCUGACGCAGCGACGCCGCGUGAGGGAUGAAGGUCUUCGGAUCGUAAACCUCUGUCAGUCGGGAAGAAUGGUCACUGUGCUAAUCCGCAGUGAAUUGACGGUACCUGAAAAGGAAGCACAGGCUAACUCCGUGCCAGCAGCCGCGGUAAUACUGAGGGUGCUAGCGUUAAUCGGAAUUACUGGGCGUAAAGCGCUCGUAGGCGGUAUGUCAAGUCAAGGGGGAAAUCCCCGGCUUCAACGUGGGAACUGCCUGUGAAACUGGCAAACUGGAGUGUGUGAGAGGAUAGUGGAAUGUCAGGUGUAGGAGUGAAAUGCGUAGAUAUCU
RNAcentral lists this ribosomal RNA (369 nucleotides) under uncultured bacterium. Its description in RNAcentral is "partial 16S ribosomal RNA". It matches the Rfam family "Bacterial small subunit ribosomal RNA", at positions 338 to 699 of the family's 1533-position model. The record is from RNAcentral.